UUCAUACUUGCCUAAAGCUACAGGACAGUGUAAGCUCUUUCACGCAAGCGAAAAAUUCCCUUUUCUAGCUCUUUCCCAUGAAUGAAGAACAAACAUCUAGUCAGUACUGAUGCAGUUUAGAUAGUUAAGCAUCACCAGAGUUGCGCCGCACAGGAACUCAAGAUCAAAAAGACUUCAUUUCCUUCACGUAUUAGUCAACCCCAUAGUGAAAAAAGAAAGAAAGAAAGAAAGGAAUAGAUUGCGAGAUUAUCCUGUUAUAUAUGAGGGUUUUACCAUCUGGGAUUUGGCCAGACACUAGCAUGAGGAACAUCAAACCAAACUUCACUGCCUUGACGAUCAGUAGCCUGCCGUAGAGCGCGGCAUCUUUAGGUCUUCAUUGUGGCAGAACUGCAGCAUCCAAAUGCUAGCAUUUGAUUGAAAUUAUAGUGAAAUUAAUUAAAUUGCCUGAACAAUUAUCCAACCAACAUGAGAUGCCAAAGGGAGAGGAGAAAAUGUAUGCUCCCAACUUUAAUUUGGAAGCACUCUUGUAUUCCUCCAUUUCCAGACAGGCUAAGACGAAAUAUUCACCUUUGUAAUAUGUUGAUGGAAUUGAUUCCAUUUUAUCUUACAAUAGAGAAAGGUAGUUCAUAUUCAAUUCCUUCCACAAUCUUAGAUGUGCA
This 659-nucleotide long non-coding RNA is filed under the name Vitis vinifera (wine grape). RNAcentral's name for it is "long non-coding RNA (VVIN_LNC001305)". The record is from RNAcentral. Lineage: Eukaryota; Viridiplantae; Streptophyta; Magnoliopsida; Vitales; Vitaceae.